RNAcentral lists this ribosomal RNA (119 nucleotides) under Pteropus alecto (black flying fox). The record is from RNAcentral. Lineage: Eukaryota; Metazoa; Chordata; Mammalia; Chiroptera; Pteropodidae.
GUCUACAGCCAUGCCACCCUGAACAAGCCCUAUCCUGUCUGAUUUCCGAAGCUAAGCAGGGUCAGGUGUGGUUAGUACAUGGAUGGGAGACCACCUAGGAAGACCAGGUGCUGUAGGCA